RNAcentral lists this transfer RNA (74 nucleotides) under Trichosporon asahii var. asahii CBS 8904. RNAcentral describes it as "tRNA-Ile (TAT) (tRNA-Ile-TAT-1-1)". It matches the Rfam family "tRNA". Rfam says of the family: Transfer RNA (tRNA) molecules are approximately 80 nucleotides in length. Their secondary structure includes four short double-helical elements and three loops (D, anti-codon, and T loops). Lineage: Eukaryota; Fungi; Basidiomycota; Tremellomycetes; Trichosporonales; Trichosporonaceae. The record is from RNAcentral.
ACCGUUGUAGCUCAGUCGGUUAGAGCGUCACCCUUAUGUGGUGAAGUGCGUGGGUUCGAUUCCCUCCAGCGGUA